AAGGCUAAAUACUACCUAGUGACCGAUAGCGUAUAGUACCGUGAGGGAAAGGUGAAAAGAACCCCGGGAGGGGAGUGAACUAGAACCUGAAACCCUGCACUUACAAGCUGUGGAAGCACAUUUCUUGUGUGACCGCGUACUUUUUGUAGAACGGGCCAACGAGUUACGUUAAGUAGCAAGGUUAAGCACUUAAGGUGUGGA
Molecule: ribosomal RNA, 201 nt
Filed under: Clostridioides difficile
Lineage: Bacteria; Bacillati; Bacillota; Clostridia; Peptostreptococcales; Peptostreptococcaceae
Description: partial 23S ribosomal RNA
Rfam family: Bacterial large subunit ribosomal RNA
Source: RNAcentral